UUUAAGUUAUUUUAUAAUAAAUAUUUGACUGUUGAUCAAAAGAAUAUCUUAGAG
This 54-nucleotide transfer RNA is filed under the name Rhigonema thysanophora. RNAcentral describes it as "tRNA-Asn". Lineage: Eukaryota; Metazoa; Nematoda; Chromadorea; Rhabditida; Rhigonematidae. The record is from RNAcentral.